RNAcentral lists this transfer RNA (73 nucleotides) under Ailuropoda melanoleuca (giant panda). It matches the Rfam family "tRNA". From Rfam's summary of the family: Transfer RNA (tRNA) molecules are approximately 80 nucleotides in length. Their secondary structure includes four short double-helical elements and three loops (D, anti-codon, and T loops). Further hydrogen bonds mediate the characteristic L-shaped molecular structure. tRNAs have two regions of fundamental functional importance: the anti-codon, which is responsible for specific mRNA codon recognition, and the 3' end, to which the tRNAs corresponding amino acid is attached (by aminoacyl-tRNA synthetases). tRNAs cope with the degeneracy of the genetic code in two manners: having more than one tRNA (with a specific anti-codon) for a particular amino acid; and 'wobble' base-pairing, i.e. permitting non-standard base-pairing at the 3rd anti-codon position. The record is from Rfam by way of RNAcentral. Lineage: Eukaryota; Metazoa; Chordata; Mammalia; Carnivora; Ursidae.
ACCUGGCCGGCUCAGCCGGUAGAGCGUGUGACUACUGAUCUCAGGGUUGUGAGUUCAAGCCCCACACUGGGUA